AACCAACAGGGAUUGCCCUAGUAACGGCGAGUGAAGCGGCAACAGCUCAAAUUUGAAAUCUGGCUCUUUUAGGGUCCGAGUUGUAAUUUGCAGAGGGCGCUUUGGCGUUGGCAGCGGUCCAAGUUCUUUGGAACAGGACGUCACAGAGGGUGAGAAUCCCGUACGUGGUCGCUAGCCUUCGCCGUGUAAAGCCCCUUCGACGAGUCGAGUUGUUUGGGAAUGCAGCUCUAAAUGGGAGGUAAAUUUCUUCUAAAGCUAAAUACUGGCCAGAGACCGAUAGCGCACAAGUAGAGUGAUCGAAAGAUGAAAAGCACUUUGGAAAGAGAGUCAAAUAGCACGUGAAAUUGUUGAAAGGGAAGCGCUUGCAGCCAGACUUGCCUGUAGUUGCUUAUCCGGACUUUUGUCCGGUGCACUCUUCUGCGGGCAGGCCAGCAUCAGUUUAGGCGGUUGGAUAAAGGUCUCUAUCACGUACCUCCCUUCGGGGUUGGCCUUAUAGGGGAGACGACAUGCAACCAGCUUGAACUGAGGUCCGCGCAUCUGCUAGGAUGCUGGCGUAAUGGCUGUAAGCGGCCCGUCUUGAAACACGGACCAAGGAGUCUAACAUCUAUGCGAGUGUUUGGGUGUCAAGCCCAGACGCGUAAUGAAAGUGAACGGAGGUGGGAACCUUUUAGGUGCACCAUCGACCGAUCCUGAUGUCUUCGGAUGGAUUUGAGUAAGAGCAUGGCUGUUGGGACCCGAAAGAUGGUGAACUAUGCUUGAAUAGGGUGAAGCCAGAGGAAACUCUGGUGGAGGCUCGCAGCGGUUCUGACGUGCAAAUCGAUCGUCAAAUUUGGGCAUAGGGGCGAAA
Molecule: ribosomal RNA, 847 nt
Filed under: Septoriella oudemansii
Lineage: Eukaryota; Fungi; Ascomycota; Dothideomycetes; Pleosporales; Phaeosphaeriaceae
Description: eukaryotic LSU rRNA
Rfam family: Eukaryotic large subunit ribosomal RNA
Source: RNAcentral